Long non-coding RNA from Callithrix jacchus (white-tufted-ear marmoset), 693 nucleotides. RefSeq lists it as uncharacterized. NCBI's taxonomy places the organism in Eukaryota, Metazoa, Chordata, Mammalia, Primates, Cebidae. The record is from RefSeq and is a predicted model, not a curated record.
UCUCCCUCCCUUUCCCCACAGGGACCAUACAAAUUGUAAAUGAAUUGCUUGAGUUAUUUGAGUGCAAGCCCUAACAGUGAAGUCUGGCUUACACAGGCACAGGGAAUUUCCACGGAGCUAGAGCUGCGGCUCAUGGAAUCACAGACGCUGCCAAAGUAAUGAAAAUGCACACACAGGCACACAGGCAAGGCUGACCACAGAAGAAGCUGCAUGGACACCUGAGGACUCCACAGAGGAGCAGCUUUCCUCCAGGUGCUCUGAAGUGGUGAUGUCAGAAUGGAGGGGACCUGCUGACACUGGCUCUGCCAGACCUCUGUGCUCCCCUCCCCAGCCCCCACGUUCCAGGACUCUUGGCACAAGAAAAUGGAUCAGACAAGAAGGACCAGGUGGCCAGAGCAGGCUGGUUUGGUCAGGGCUUGGCCAUCACAUUCGAGUCACAUGAGAAUGAUGCCAGGAUCCUCAGUGAUGGGCAGCAUCGCUUUGAGAUGCAGUAGAUGACUCACCAAUUCUGGAAUGUGACCAUCUAUCCUUCAGGAGAGGACAUGAGUGUGGGGGUGAAGGAGACACCAUUGCUCACACCCCCAACAGCCCCCACCCCAUGGCUUCCUUCCUCUGCAUCAGCACCACCCCUGAACUCUUAUUCUUGAUUGUCAUAAUUUUUAACAUCUUAACUAGAAAUGAAAGACAUGUGUU